GUGUUCUCAAAACUUGACAGCACAUAUACUAAAAUUAGAAUGAUACAGAGAACAUUAACAUGGUCCCUGCACAAGGAUGACAUGCAAAUUCCUGAAGCGUUCCAUAUUUUC
Molecule: small nuclear RNA, 111 nt
Organism: Octodon degus (degu)
Lineage: Eukaryota; Metazoa; Chordata; Mammalia; Rodentia; Octodontidae
Source: Ensembl